Molecule: ribosomal RNA, 460 nt
Filed under: uncultured bacterium
Lineage: Bacteria
Description: partial 16S ribosomal RNA
Rfam family: Bacterial small subunit ribosomal RNA
Source: RNAcentral
CCUACGGGUGGCAGCAGUGAGGAAUAUUGGUCAAUGGACGAGAGUCUGAACCAGCCAAGUAGCGUGAAGGAUGACUGCCCUAUGGGUUGUAAACUUCUUUUAUAUGGGAAUAAAAUGUUCCACGUGUGGGAUUUUGUAUGUACCAUAUGAAUAAGGAUCGGCUAACUCCGUGCCAGCAGCCGCGGUAAUACGGAGGAUCCGAGCGUUAUCCGGAUUUAUUGGGUUUAAAGGGAGCGUAGGUGGAUUGUUAAGUCAGUUGUGAAAGUUUGCGGCUCAACCGUAAAAUUGCAGUUGAUACUGGCAGUCUUGAGUACAGUAGAGGUGGGCGGAAUUCGUGGUGUAGCGGUGAAAUGCUUAGAUAUCACGAAGAACUCCGAUUGCGAAGGCAGUUCACUAGACUGCAACUGACACUGAGGCUCGAAAGUGUGGGUAUCAAACAGGAUUAGAUACCCUUGUAGUC